Molecule: ribosomal RNA, 252 nt
Filed under: uncultured Eubacteriales bacterium
Lineage: Bacteria; Bacillati; Bacillota; Clostridia; Eubacteriales
Description: uncultured Clostridiales bacterium partial 16S ribosomal RNA
Rfam family: Bacterial small subunit ribosomal RNA
Source: RNAcentral
AUAAAGUGGAUUAGCGGCGGACGGGUGAGUAACACGUGAGUAACCUGCCUUAGACAUUGGGAUAGCCUCGGGAAACCGGGAUUAAUACCAAAUAAAAUUAUAAUGACACAUGUCAUAACGAUCAAAACUCCGGUGGUCUAAGAUGGACUCGCGUCCCAUUAGCUAGUUGGUAGAGUAAAAGCCUACCGAGGCGACGAUGGGUAGCCGGCCUGAGAGGGUGAACGGCCACAUUGGAACUGAGAAACGGUCCAA